UCAGGAUGAACGCUAGCUACAGGCUAACACAUGCAAGUCGAGGGGGCAGCAUUGGGAUAGCUUGCUAUUCAGAUGGCGACCGGCGCACGGGUGAGUAACGCGUAUCCAACCUUCCUGCCAGUAGGGAACAGCCCGGCGAAAGUCGGAUUAAUGCCCUAUGUUCUUCAAUGCGGACAUCUAAGUUGAAGGAAAGAUUCAUCGCUGGCAGAUGGGGAUGCGUCCGAUUAGCUUGCCGGCGGGGUAACGGCCCACCGGGGCGACGAUCGGUAGGGGUUCUGAGAGGAAGGUCCCCCACACUGGUACUGAGACACGGACCAGACUCCUACGGGAGGCAGCAGUGAGGAAUAUUGGUCAAUGGGCGUAAGCCUGAACCAGCCAAGUAGCGUGCAGGAUGACGGCCCUACGGGUUGUAAACUGCUUUUAUGCGGGGAUAAAGUGCGGCACGUGUGCCGCUUUGCAGGUACCGCAUGAAUAAGGACCGGCUAAUUCCGUGCCAGCAGCUGC
RNAcentral lists this ribosomal RNA (504 nucleotides) under uncultured bacterium. Its description in RNAcentral is "bacterial SSU rRNA". It matches the Rfam family "Bacterial small subunit ribosomal RNA", at positions 24 to 518 of the family's 1533-position model. The record is from RNAcentral.